Girardinichthys multiradiatus is the source of this 689-nucleotide long non-coding RNA. RefSeq lists it as uncharacterized. The record is from RefSeq and is a predicted model, not a curated record. NCBI's taxonomy places the organism in Eukaryota, Metazoa, Chordata, Actinopteri, Cyprinodontiformes, Goodeidae. The transcript is spliced from 3 exons.
GGAGCAGGUUGGACUGCUUUGUGAUUUUCCUGAACAGUGAGCUGCGUUUCUUACUGGAAUACAAAAAACAGCCACAAGGAUGAGCUCCACUACUUCUGUAUGGACAAGACCAUGGACUGACUCCCCGUUUACGCAAGGAUCAAAGGUGGAGCUGAGAAGGAAGCAAUCACAGAUGAGGAAGUCAUAAAGAGGGUGGCUGCGCUGAACAGAAGACACACUGAUCUUAAGAUUGGGGAGACUGUGGAAGUGUGUUGUUACAAGAUAAUGGUGUAUAUGACCUGUUUAUGUUGCAGUUGUUUUUCCCAUCCUUUAGAGAGCAACGUUUAUUGUAACUAGGGAACCCCCAAAGAUAAUAAAAAGAGAGGUGCGGACAGAUUUCAGAGCGGUAGGAGAUUUGUAACUGAAAGCACACACUCCACAAAUGUGGCUCUUGUAGAAAAAGGAUGAAGAAGAAAGCCAUUGUUGAAACAGAUCUACCUGAAAUGCAUUGAAUUUUCUCACAAGCCAUGAAGGAGACAGAGCAAGCAUGGAAAAGAAGGUGCAAAUAGUCUUAUGAAAACUGACAUUGCAUAUCGCCCUGAACACACCAUCUCAACUGUUAAACAUCAGGAUGACAGCAUUACUCCUUCGGGGUGUUUGUCUUCAGCAGAGACAAGUGGGUCAGAAUUCACGUGAAGAUGGAUGGAGCU